UAGGUUUUGAUGAAAUUCCCCCAUACCUCUCUCACUAAUAUGUCACUUGUUAAAUUAUGCAGCAUAAGUAACCUUUGAUCUUUACUUUACAGGGGCACGCCAGGAAGGACAAGCGUCAGGGCUAUCAUCACAAACCCUCCAAGUGCAUUUAUAACUGGCGCUAAGAAGUGAUGGUUAUAGUCAAAGGUGUGGACCAGCUGUCAGAGGUCAUCAGAAAGAGAAACAUCCUGCCCAUAUUUAGUCAGUUCUGCCAGGACAGCAGGGAUAGAGACAACGGUAUAGGUGUCAUGGAGAAGUCUUUACAAAAUACUAUACAAUAUCUACACGUCUAGAAAAAGAGGAGUCUAUUCAGGACGCCAUUUACAGAACUGCUGGUCUGAGAGUCAAUAACUACCAAGCAGUGUACUGCCCCCUCACACUAUGACGUGGAUGGAACAUACUGCAGUCACUGUGCACACUCGUCAAGACAGCCCAUCAAUAUUAGAUCGACUAGGGUACUACCCCCCACACCAACACAUAUUAAAUAUUUAAAGGGGUGUUUACCAGUGUUUGUAUGUGCAUAUUAUUUGUUGUGUCAGUGCAGUAUCUACUAAUAGUACAGCGGAGCACAUGCGAGUUCUGGAGGCUGCAGUGCUUGCACAAGAUCUGCGGCCCCUUUGAACAAUUAAUCUAUGGGUAUAUCGGGAAUAAGACACUUGUCAAUCAAUACAACCUCUUUAACCCUUUGGGUAUCUAAAUAUAUACACGUAUUUAAAGCUUCACUAAAUUAGAGAGAGUUUUCACCUUUUCAACAUUGACGGUCUAGGGAAUGGAGGGAUCAAUACCAACAUCUUAAAUGAUUUAAAAAAAAAAAAAAAAGUUACUUAUCUGGGACCACAUUGUUGGCCCAAUAACAGAGAUGGGGUGCCAGGUGAGCAAAUGAUGACAUACAAGAAGAAGGUCCAGAUGGGUAUACAUUGAGUGAAGCGGGGAGUAAUACAUAUACUCAUGCCACAAGAUGUAAAUGCCACCACAACUGGCAGUUGUGAGGCCAGUUGAUGAUUCUUGCCCCAUGAUGAAUCCACAAGGAUCGAAAGUAAAAUUUAAUUCCCCUCAAAUGAUUUAAAACAAUGUUUCUCAAUCAGUGUGCCUCCAAAACUACAACUUUCAGAAUGUUAGGACAGCCAAAGGCUGUCUGGGCAUGAUGGGGAUCAUAGUUUUGCAAAAACUAGAUGCACACUGGUUGGGAAACACUGGUUUAAGGAAUCGGUCAAAUCAAACAUCCCCGUUAGCCUUAGACAGAAUAGAGGUUAAUGGCAACAUCCAUGGUUAACAGAGUUCAUGCCAAUAUGUCUGGGGGUCUAGGGCACUAAUGGGUCAAUGUCAGCAUUCCUGAAUGUCAAGCACAAUAUGUGAUUAUUGUCAGCAUCUCUGGUUGUUUACAGCAGAAAUUGGUUAUUAUCAGUAACUCUGUUUUCUAGGUAAGUAAGGGGAUAAUGUAAGCAUGACUAGUUGUUUAGUGUGGUUAGAGUUAAAUUAAUGGUAUCUAGUUUAGUCAGCAGCUUAAAAAAGAUAAGAUUUGUGAUGCAUAGCGUGCAUGUAUCACCGCUCAGUACUGUACAAGCCUAGUUACUAUGCAUUUCUAUUGAUUUUUCAGUGACUUCCUGCAGCAAUUGGCACCCACCCCUUUUUGUCUAGGAAAGUAUACUUCCGAGAUGUGUACAGGGGAAAAGUAAGUGUCAGAAAGCAGAACAGAUAACCCCUUUAAGUCUGACUUAACUGUUCCAUACUAAGCCUUAGGCUGGGUUCACACUAUGGAAUAUCCGCCCUAAAUUCCGCUUUGAAAUUGCAGGCAGAAAUUCUGUCUACUAAAAUGUAUAGUGUAGUGAAGGGGUUUCUGUUCACAAAUUCACACUUCGGAAUUUGUGAACGGAAAAUCCGCUUGAAAAUUUCCGUCUGAAAAAUGGCGUUGCUCAUUCUUUAGGCAGAAAUACUCGUGGAACACAUUGCAGUCUAUUGGAGACUGCAGUGUCUGCGUGGUCCUAGCGCCUACUGAUUCAGUCGGUGCUGGCCACACUUGGAAUCUCUGCCUGGAGA
This is a long non-coding RNA of Hyla sarda, 2076 nucleotides long. RefSeq lists it as uncharacterized. The record is from RefSeq and is a predicted model, not a curated record. The transcript is spliced from 4 exons. Lineage: Eukaryota; Metazoa; Chordata; Amphibia; Anura; Hylidae.